This 468-nucleotide ribosomal RNA is filed under the name uncultured bacterium. RNAcentral describes it as "partial 16S ribosomal RNA". It matches the Rfam family "Bacterial small subunit ribosomal RNA", at positions 28 to 507 of the family's 1533-position model. The record is from RNAcentral.
GACGAACGCUGGCGGCGUGCUUAACACAUGCAAGUCGAACGGAAAGGCCCUGCUUUUGUGGGGUGCUCGAGUGGCGAACGGGUGAGUAACACGUGAGUAACCUGCCCUUGACUUCGGGAUAACUUCAGGAAACUGGGGCUAAUACCGGAUAGGAGCUCCUGCUGCAUGGUGGGGGUUGGAAAGUUUCGGCGGUUGGGGAUGGACUCGCGGCUUAUCAGCUUGUUGGUGGGGUAGUGGCUUACCAAGGCUUUGACGGGUAGCCGGCCUGAGAGGGUGACCGGCCACAUUGGGACUGAGAUACGGCCCAGACUCCUACGGGAGGCAGCAGUGGGGAAGAUUGCACAAUGGGAGGAAGCCUGAUGCAGCAACGCCGCGUGCGGGAUGACGGCCUUCGGGUUGUAAACCGCUUUCGCCUGUGACGAAGCGUGAGUGACGGUAAUGGGUAAAGAAGCACCGGCUAACUACGUG